GAGCUAUCAAUCUGUCUAUCCUUCCAGUGUCCGGGCCUGGUGAGAUUUCCCGUGUUGAGUCAAAUUAAGCCACAGGCUCCACUCCUGGUGGUGCCCUUCCGUCAAUUCCUUUAAGUUUCAGCUUUGCAACCAUACUUCCCCUGGAACCCAAAUGCUUUGGUUUCCCGGAAGCUUCCUGCCCAGUCUACAGUAAAAACGCAGGCAGAUCGCUAGCUGGCAUCGUUUAUGGUUAGAACUAGGGCGGUAUCUAAUCGCCUUCGAACCUUUAACUUUCGUUCUUGAUUAAUGAAAACAUUCUUGGCAAAUGCUUUCGCAGUAGUUUGUCUACAAACGGUCCAAGAAUUUCACCUCUGUCGUUUGAAUACAAAUGCCCCCGACUGUCCCUAUCUAUCAUUAUGUCGAGUCCCGAAAACCAACAAAAUAGGAUCGACAUCCUAUUCUAUUAUUCCAUUUUAGCCUGCUUUGAGCACUCCAAUUUUUUCAAAGUAAACCUGCUGGCAUCCAGAGACACUCGAUCAAGAGCACCCCUAAACCUCCAGCAAAAGCACAGCCUACAAAGCAGUAAAACUACAAAGUUAACCGCUUCAAGGCUGUUGAGAUCCAACUACGAGCUUUUUAACCACAACAACUUUAAUAUACGCUAUUGGAGCUGGAAU
This 656-nucleotide ribosomal RNA is filed under the name uncultured metazoan. RNAcentral describes it as "partial 18S ribosomal RNA". The record is from RNAcentral. Lineage: Eukaryota; Metazoa.